AGAGUUGAUCAUGGCUCAGGAUUAACGCUGGCGGCGUGCCUAAUACAUGCAAGUCGAAUGGUAGUAGCAAUACAAACCAUGGCGAACGGGUGAGUAACACGUAGGUAACCUGUCUUUAAGACGAGGAUAACCAUUGGAAACGAUGGAUAAUACUGGAUAGGACAUCAUAAAGGGCAUCCUUAGAUGUUUAAAGAUUAUAAUGUCACUUAGAGAGGGGCCUGCGGCGCAUUAGCUAGUUGGUGAGGUAAGAGCCCACCAAGGCGAUGAUGCGUAGCCGGACUGAGAGGUUGAACGGCCACAAUGGAACUGAGAACGGUCCAUACUCCUACGGGAGGCAGCAGUAGGGAAUUUUCGGCAAUGGGCGCAAGCCUCGACCGAGCAACGCCGCGUGAACGAAGAAGUUAUUCGUAAUGUAAAGUUCUUUUAUCUGGGAAGAAAAAACAAAUUGACGGUACCAGAUGAAUAAGCUCCGGCUAACUACGUGCCAGCCGCAGC
This 495-nucleotide ribosomal RNA is filed under the name uncultured bacterium. Its description in RNAcentral is "bacterial SSU rRNA". It matches the Rfam family "Bacterial small subunit ribosomal RNA", at positions 8 to 518 of the family's 1533-position model. The record is from RNAcentral.